ACACUUAUUCAAAUCGAAGAAGUUUUAAAUAUUGAAAGCACUAUAUAUAUAUAUAUAUAUAUAAUUUUAUUCAAAUUAAAACUUUAGUCUUGAUUUUUAUUUCUAAAAAGCUUUUAAUGAAGUAUCAUGAGACGUUUGAUCAUUUUUCUGAUAUUUGUUUCUCUCUUAUACACUAACUAGCUAUUAUAAUUGUGAGAAUGAGACAUGUGAACUAUUUAUUAUAAUUUUUCUGGUUUAUUAUCUAAUAAAUCAAAAAGUUCUUAUAUUUCGAGUAUGCACUUAUAAUAUAUAAAAGCUUGAUAUAUUAGAUUUGAACAUUAACCUGUGAAUACAUUUUGCUAGUGAUUUUGUUCAAAAAUUUGAUUCUUAGAUAUGUCUCUGGAACUAAUUUUUACAGAUGUCCAUAUUUUUAAAUUGACACUUAUGUAAUUCACCGGAUUCACAGAAGAAGUUAAAAAAAAAAGAAACUAAAUUCUUUAUCAGUGAAACAUAAACGAGAACAAAAGCACAAUUUUUUAGAAGUAGAAAAUGAAAUCACUUAUGGAGAGUCAACAGUAACCAAAUUGAUAGCAGAAAACCUAAUCAUCUUUCGUCAUUUUACAGCAUCGGUGUUUUCUUUCUUAUUUUUGUUUGUGCCAGCCGUAAAACUUAAUUUUCUUUUGUGCAUACGAAGUUUUAAAAAUAAUUAAAAUUAUAUGUAGUACGUUAAAUCUUCAACAACGAUGAUGCAUUUAAUAGACCAAAAUUAGUAUUCGUCAUUUUACAGUUGAUAAAGAUUGUAGUGUUGCGAAAUGUUGAAACCAUUUAACGAACAAACAUUAGUAUAAAAAUCUCACUCGCGCAUGAACACAGAUUAUCAUCUAGUAUGAUACUAAAAGUUAGACACAUCAUUGAUAUUAAAAUUCAUAGAUUUAUAUAUAUAUAUACUAAUUAGGUCACAAAAUAUAAGUUGUACUUUUAGUUCACAUAUAAAAUAUAGUCUACUUAGGGACACAAAAGAUAUAGGAAAAUAAUAUAUCGUUUUGAUCUUGAGAACAACCCAAAGAAAUUUAGGAUUUCACUUUCAAUCCUCUAUUCUUCAAUAAUCUUGGAACUUGGGUGGCAAGCACAAAACCAAUGCCAUUCUCCAUCUCUUCCUCAGGCUCCACAAGCCCAUCUCCAUCUCCAACAAUGUCUUCAUUACCAUCAUCUUCUUCUAUUUUUUUUUUUGUUCAACGACCAUCAUCUUCAAAUCUAACAUAUUACAAUCAUGUUAAUGUUCUUUAAAUAGUCUAUUCUGAUCAUACACAUAAAAAUAAUAACAAAUAAAAUACAAAUAAUAUUCAUGUGUUAUUUUAUACAUAUAUUAAUUUUAUAAUAAUCAAAUGCAAAUCUAAUAAUACAAAUAUAUUAUCAUUUGUAACAAAAAUUAAAUUACUGUAUGUAAAAUAUUUAUUUUUGCCUUUAAAAUUCAUAUAAACAUUUAAAUAUAUGGAAAGUAUUAAAAUAUUAACCAUUAAACAUUUUAAAUAAUAUCAAUAUAUAAAGUGAAAACAAACAUCUGCGUAGGUGUGAAGGCCAAGCUCUAGUACAUAGUUAAAAGGAAACAAAUCUUUCAUAUACUAGUACAUUUUUGAAAAUUAAAUAAAUAAUAACUAAAUAAUGUAAUUCUUUGGUCAAAUAGAAUAAAAUCUUUGAAAAUGAAAAACAAAAUCUGUUAUUAUUAAGUAUAUAUAUGGUCAACGAAAAUUUAAAUUUGUGAUAAACUAGUAAAAUAUAAAUAUGUUAAAAAGUUGUUGAAAAUAAUUUUUAUUUCAUAUCACAUAAUUAAUAGUUUAAUUGGUGAGCACCGCCCUGUCAAUAUUCCAUAUUUACAUAUUAUUAUCAUAAUUACAGUCAAUUUUCCAAAAAAUAUACUAAUAAUUCUUAUUAUUAAAUUUAUUGUAAUGGUCAACUCAUCAUCCUAUAAAUCUCUCUUUUAGUGUCUCCCAAAAUUUAGAGUAUUACAAUAUACAAUAAACAAGUAACUAAAUCUAGAAAUAAAUAUGGCUAAAGCAAAAUUUUCAGUUGUUUUCCCCAUCAUCUUCCUUAUAAUGUUUGCUUUAGCUGAGGAUUGUAUGGGAUGUCAGGUGAUGCUUGGCGAUUGCCGUAAAUGCGGAAUAAGAUGCAGUUCUUAUGGAAGACAUGCAGAGGCUCAUUGUGAUUACCGCUAUGAAGGUGGCGCUUGUAUUUGCGACUUUCCUUGUAAUCCUCCACCAAACCUUUAAAAUGAAAUGUUAUUGGUAAUUAAUAUGAAGAAAUAAUAUGUUGAAUAUCAUAAUCAUAGUUGCUGCAAUAUUUCAUAUUUUAAAUAAUAAUUUCGUGAACCUUUGAUAUCAAUAAAAUUUAUAGAACACAAAA
Brassica napus (rape) is the source of this 2379-nucleotide long non-coding RNA. RefSeq lists it as uncharacterized. The transcript has 2 exons. NCBI's taxonomy places the organism in Eukaryota, Viridiplantae, Streptophyta, Magnoliopsida, Brassicales, Brassicaceae. The record is from RefSeq and is a predicted model, not a curated record.